Molecule: long non-coding RNA, 643 nt
Organism: Callorhinchus milii (elephant shark)
Lineage: Eukaryota; Metazoa; Chordata; Chondrichthyes; Chimaeriformes; Callorhinchidae
Exons: 3
Source: RefSeq, a predicted model, not a curated record
UAUUCAGGAAAUAUUUUAAAUUCAAUAAAGGUUACAUUCACUUGCCACUGAAAUGGCACAAUGAAAUCUCUGUUUGAAAAUCCAGCAGCCAAUGGGCUUUACAGUUAAAUUUGCCAGGGGAAAACAGACAUUGCUUGGUUGUAAUAGCUGGUAGCUGGCACUAACUUAAUCUGUCACAUUUAGAACUGGAUAUUCCAGCGAAUUCUCCACCCUCUUUCCCACAGAAAAAGAAAGCUGAUUUGGACAUCGGACGAGAACAUGAUUGUGAUACUCUGAACUGUUAAAUAGUUUGAUGCCGUCCACCAUCUGAACUCAGAUGAAUUAAUGCAAAAUCUACAUCAUACAAUGGAUUAUUUCAAGAGAAAGCUGAAGUCAUUUUGAUAAAUAAUGACUGCCCAGGAACCCUUAUAGAAUGAUGAACCUUCCAACAACAAGAGCAGCGAAUGUGCACAGAAACAGAGUACUCAACAUUACCAGAAAAGUAUAACAAAUAAUAAAUCCAUGAUGAUGAAUAAAGGCUUCAAGAAAUCAUGAUUCGAAUAUAUUUACCAGGCUCUUAAAUUCUUUGUAAUGAUCCCCAGCUGAUUUCUUUUUAACCAGUUUAUCACUCAUUAUGCAAUUAGACUACACAGAAAGCAAGUGU